This 1965-nucleotide long non-coding RNA is filed under the name Vigna radiata. RNAcentral's name for it is "long non-coding RNA (VRAD_LNC017708)". The record is from RNAcentral. Lineage: Eukaryota; Viridiplantae; Streptophyta; Magnoliopsida; Fabales; Fabaceae.
AACAACAUUUGUACUAAAGCCUUUCUUCUUGCCUUGACCUGCAACGUUAGUUAGUUGCCUAUCAUUAUUUAAUAGUCGACUAAAUUUCCUUACUACCAAGGUCAUCAAUUCUUUAUCAUCCAUGUCUAUUUCUGAGUUGUUCUUGCUUGUAGCCUUCAGAGCAAUGGACUUCUUUUCUUCAAUCUCCUUUUCAUCCUUUAAUCUACCAAGUUCCAAUUCAUGUUCACGUAACUUGCCAAACAAGGUAGCCAUGUUCAUCGUUGUGAGAUCUUUGGAUUAAGAGAUUGUUGUGACUUUUGGUUGCCAGUUUCUGUUCAGACUUUUCAGAAUCUUGAUAUUGAUUUCUUCUUUGUCAUAGACUUUCCCGAGAGCCAUGAGAUGAUUUACAAUGUGAGUGAAUUGUUUCUACACAUCAUAGAUGUUUUCACCAGCAUUCAUUCUGAACAAUUCAUACUCUUGUAUUAGUGAAUUCUUUCUUGCUCUCUUGACUUCAUUUGUGUCUUCAUGAGUUACCUCUAAGACAUCCCAUAUUUCCUUUGCGGAUUUGCAUUGAGAUAUCCUUAAAAAUUCAUCAACAGUUAGUGCAGAGGCAAUAAUAUUUCUAGCUUUAAUAUCAUACUGAGCUUUUCUAUUUUCAUUAGCAGUCCACUCAAUAAAAGGUUUGAAAACAGUUUCCUUAUAAAUAGUUUUUGUAGGCAUAAAAGGUCAUUUAAUGUGGCAUCCAAAAUUCCUUUGUCUUGCGAUUCAAGAAAGAUUUGCAUUCUAAUUUUCCAAAAUGGAUAAUUUUCACCAGCAAACAGAGGUGGUCUGUGUAUUGAAGCACCUUCACCAAAAGUUUGAAAACAGGAAGCCAUCCCCAGGUCUAUAGUCGAAUCAGUGAAAAACAGAGUCGACUAGUUUUUCAAAUAACUUAUGAAAACCAGCUCUGAUACCAAUUGUUGGAAAACAGGUAGGCUUCUUUGUACACCAAGAGGGUGGGUGUGAAUUGGUGAUGUUUCAAAAAUAAGUUCUUUUCGCAAUCUUGAAAAGAAAGUAUAAAACUUUUUUAACUUUCUUGAAAUGCAAGCAAUCAGAAAAUGUAUGCAGCGGAAAAUAGGUAGUUACUGCGUGAAAUAUAGAGUCGGCUAGAAUGUAAAAGAUAAGGGAUAGAGAAAAGCAAACACGGGUUUUUAUACUAGUUCGGCCAACAAUACCUACAUCCAGUGUCCUUCUAACCCAAGAAGCAAAUGCACUAUAAUGGUUGCAGUUUUUACAACAAGGAAUUUGUAGAAGACCUCUACGUCCAAAAUAUAAAUCUCCUCUCUAAUCAAAAACCAAAAUAUAGCUGCAGAACAAAACCAGAAUUGCAACAAUAAUCCCUUCUUUUGCAAUCUGCAACACCACUUUGAACAAUCCUUUAAGUGAACUAUCCCCCUGUAUUGAAACAGGUAUAAUUCCAGUAGUCUUCACAGGAUGCCAAGCCUUGAUCACAAUUCAACAGUCUUCACAGCAUGCCAAGCCUUCAACACGAUCACACAGAAGCACCUUUCUUGUGCAGGUAAUGAUCAGCAGGUGUAAGCGCACAAAGUCUCCUCAACGAAUCUCGUUCAAGAAAGAUCACCACCGUCUUCUUGGAUAAUUCUUGGAGCUAAGAGAAAUCUAAAACAGAAAUGAAAUUGUCAGUUCAUCAAAAGUCUCUGAACAAACUUGUGUUUAGUCUAUUUAUAGAUUUCUGUUAUACAGUCAGAUUCUCAGUCGAAUGUGCUACUAAAUCAAUCGACUAUAUUAUGAUAGUUAAGACAGUUCAGUCAACACAGUAGCUCACAGUCAACAAAUAACAGAACACAUUUAAUAUAGUUGACCAAGUCAUCAAUGCUCAACUAACUUUUAAAAAUAUAGCCGUUAGAGUGCAAGAGCAUAACAAAAUUCCAAAUCAGAUAAUAGAUACAGUCGAAUAUGUAAAACACAUAGUCGAUAUCCACCAUG